Priapulus caudatus is the source of this 504-nucleotide long non-coding RNA. RefSeq lists it as uncharacterized. The record is from RefSeq and is a predicted model, not a curated record. NCBI's taxonomy places the organism in Eukaryota, Metazoa, Priapulida, Priapulimorpha, Priapulimorphida, Priapulidae. The transcript has 3 exons.
AUAACGAUCGAUCCUGUCACUGGCGUCAUCCGUCGCAGCGGUGACCUCACGGGUCGCGCCGGUGACUAUGAGAUCGUUGUGCAGGCGAGAGAUGGCGCCGGUGCAGGUAUCAACGUCGCCACCGUCCCCGUCGAGAUCCACGUAGUCGACGUCAACGACAAGAGACCAUUCUUCCUGACGCCGAGCGUGGACGCGUGCUCGAGAAUCAGACAGCUGGCUUCGUCAUUGUGACGGCGGUUGCCGCGGACGACGACGACGGCGCGGGAGCAAGCAUCCGCUACGCGCUGCGUCACCGCGGCAUCGUCGUCAACGCGACGCGAGACUUUGUCAUCGACGAGCGAACGGGGAUGCUGCGCACGCGAGCACGCCUCGACCGCGAGACACACGCCAGCUACCAGUUGGAGCUGGUUGCCGAGGACAACGGGAAUCCUCCGUAUCAGGCGUACAGGCUGCUGACGGUCGUUGUUGACGAUGUUAACGACAAUAUGCCGUCGUUCCCUCGCA